CGUAUCACCCAAGACAACUUUACGGAGUUGACGAUUGACGGAGCGAAGCGACGUCAAAGCGUUCAUUAAAGUCGAGUUGGCUUAGGGAUACGUUCGUUGGGUAGGGGAGCGUUCUGUAAGCCUGUGAAGGUGGCCUGUGAGGGUUGCUGGAGGUAUCAGAAGUGCGAAUGCUGACAUAAGUAACGAUAAAGCGGGUGAAAAGCCCGCUCGCCGGAAGACCAAGGGUUCCUGUCCAACGUUAAUCGGGGCAGGGUGAGUCGACCCCUAAGGCGAGGCCGAAAGGCGUAGUCGAUGGGAAACGGGUUAAUAUUCCCGUACUUGGUGUUACUGCGAAGGGGGGACGGAGAAGGCUAUGUUGGCCGGGCGACGGUUGUCCCGGUUUAAGCGUGUAGGCUGGUUUUCCAGGCAAAUCCGGAAAAUCAAGGCUGAGGCGUGACGACGAGGCACUACGGUGCUGAAGCAACAAAUGCCCUGCUUCCAGGAAAAGCCUCUAAGCAUCAGGUAACACGAAAUCGUACCCCAAACCGACACAGGUGGUCAGGUAGAGAAUACCAAGGCGCUUGAGAGAACUCGGGUGAAGGAACUAGGCAAAAUGGUGCCGUAACUUCGGGAGAAGGCACGCUGACACGUAGGUGAAGUGAUUUACUCAUGGAGCUGAAGUCAGUCGAAGAUACCAGCUGGCUGCAACUGUUUAUUAAAAACACAGCACUGUGCAAACACGAAAGUGGACGUAUACGGUGUGACGCCUGCCCGGUGCCGGAAGGUUAAUUGAUGGGGUCAGCGCAAGCGAAGCUCCUGAUCGAAGCCCCGGUAAACGGCGGCCGUAACUAUAACGGUCCUAAGGUAGCGAAAUUCCUUGUCGGGUAAGUUCCGACCUGCACGAAUGGCGUAAUGAUGGCCAGGCUGUCUCCACCCGAGACUCAGUGAAAUUGAACUCGCUGUGAAGAUGCAGUGUACCCGCGGCAAGACGGAAAGACCCCGUGAACCUUUACUAUAGCUUGACACUGAACAUUGAGCCUUGAUGUGUAGGAUAGGUGGGAGGCUUUGAAGUGUGGACGCCAGUCUGCAUGGAGCCGACCUUGAAAUACCACCCUUUAAUGUUU
This 1103-nucleotide ribosomal RNA is filed under the name Salmonella enterica. Its description in RNAcentral is "partial 23S ribosomal RNA". It matches the Rfam family "Bacterial large subunit ribosomal RNA", at positions 1154 to 2215 of the family's 2925-position model. The record is from RNAcentral. Lineage: Bacteria; Pseudomonadati; Pseudomonadota; Gammaproteobacteria; Enterobacterales; Enterobacteriaceae.